AUGAACGCUGGCGGCGUGCUUAACACAUGCACGUCGAACGAUGAAGCCCAGCUUGCUGGGUGGAUUAGUGGCGAACGGGUGAGUAACACGUGAGUAACCUGCCCUUGACUCUGGGAUAAGCCUGGGAAACUGGGUCUAAUACUGGAUAUGACUUCUCAUCGCAUGGUGGGGGGUGGAAAGAUUUAUUGGUCUUGGAUGGACUCGCGGCCUAUCAGCUUGUUGGUGAGGUAAUGGCUCACCAAGGCGACGACGGGUAGCCGGCCUGAGAGGGUGACCGGCCACACUGGGACUGAGACACGGCCCAGACUCCUACGGGAGGCAGCAGUGGGGAAUAUUGCACAAUGGGCGCAAGCCUGAUGCAGCGACGCCGCGUGAGGGAUGACGGCCUUCGGGUUGUAAACCUCUUUCAGUAGGGAAGAAGCGAGAGUGACGGUACCUGCAGAAGAAGCGCCGGCUAACUACGUG
This 465-nucleotide ribosomal RNA is filed under the name uncultured bacterium. Its description in RNAcentral is "partial 16S ribosomal RNA". It matches the Rfam family "Bacterial small subunit ribosomal RNA", at positions 29 to 507 of the family's 1533-position model. The record is from RNAcentral.